GAUGAACGUUGGCGGUGUGCCUAAUACAUGCAAGUCGAACGGUGGUUAUUUUGUAGUAAUACGAAGUGAUCAUAGUGGCGAACGGGUGAGUAACGCGUUGGUGAUCUGCCUCGAAGUGUGGAAUAACGUUCCGAAAGGAACGCUAAUACCGCAUGUGCUCUCGAUUUUUAGAAAGUUGAGAGUAAAGGAUUUAUUCGCUUCGAGAGGAGCCUGCGUCCCAUCAGCUAGUUGGUAGGGUAAUAGCCUACCAAGGCUUUGACGGGUAGGGGACCUGAGAGGGUGGCCCCCCAAAUGGAACUGAAACACGGUCCAUACACCUACGGGUGGCAGCAGUAGGGAAUAUUAGAAAUGGACGAAAGUCUGAUCUAGCGACACCGCGUGUGCGAUGAAGGCCUUCGGGUGUAAAGCACUUUUUGGAAGGAAUAGGAAGGAAGGUACUUCCAGAUAAAGUCUCGGCUAACUACGUGCCCAGCAGCCGCGGUAAAACGUGCGUG
This 494-nucleotide ribosomal RNA is filed under the name uncultured bacterium. RNAcentral's name for it is "bacterial SSU rRNA". It matches the Rfam family "Bacterial small subunit ribosomal RNA", at positions 28 to 533 of the family's 1533-position model. The record is from RNAcentral.